CUCCUGAGGGUGCUGCUCGGAGCUAGCAGGAGCCUGGGCUGCCUCUGCAAGCUUCUGUUGGGCCAUGAUGCGUACGUAGCACUCUUGCUGCAUCCCGUGGUCAAAGCCAGUGUCUGUGGGGUGGGGAACGACUCCUCCAGGAAGGUUCUGCAAGUCUCAGGGCAACAGCGAGAGAGGCGUGAAAUUCUCAUAGGGUAGAGGGAGUGAGCGGUUCUCCAACAUAAGCCAGAUGCUAAUGAGACAUCUGAGGGAUUUUCAAGAAUCCCGUCACUGGUAUAGUUCCAGGUUAGAGCUGGCCAACGCACGAGAUUUGGAGAACGGAAAAGAGAGGCCGUUGCAGGCAGGUGACAAUGGCAAGCUUUGCAACAGUUCGGGGCAAUCUUCUUCAAAGCCCUUGCUUCUGAGCCACAGGCUGAGGCAUCGAUGGGGGCUCCCAGGAACACCAUGAGCUCCCUGGCAGCUCCCAGGCAAGCUCGAGAGAGCCGCCCACCUCGGAGCUGUGGGGCCCCUAGUCCCCUAACUGCAUUAGCUCCAGGAUGGAUGGGUGACAGCGAUGGAUGGAUGGACGGGCGGCUGGAUGGACAGAGUGGCAGGGAACUCCCAACCCCAGGCCCUGGGAGAAGGAACAGACACACGCAAAUGUGUGAAUGCAGCUCCAACACUCACUGGAAGGAGAGAUGACACUGUCUGGGGAGUCUGGGAAGGCUGGUCAGAGGAGGGAAGUAGCUCAUUCAGUCAUGGGACAUUUCAAGGUGGGAAGAAGGUGUUCAUCACACGGCUGUGAUCACGUGCCCAUAUGCAGACCACUCUGUCCUGGGUGCAUGAGGAGUUCAUCUCUUAAAUCCAUGGUUCUCAACAAGGACAGUCCUCCCUCCCCAUGGGACAUUUGGCAAUGACUGGAGGAGUUGCUACUGGCAUCUCCUGGAUGGAGGCCAGGCAGGGCUGUUGGUAAACAUCCCAGUCUAGUGCACAGGACAGCCUCCACCACAAAGAAUCAUCCAGCCCCAAAUGUCAGCAGCACCAAGGUUGAGAACUCUGUCCUAAACCCUGAAAUUUUCAUUUGAUAAGUGCAAUUAUAAUGCAAUGUCUUUUUGAUGCACCAAAGGCAUUAAUGUCUUCAAUGUGAAUAUUUAAAACACACAGGUGACCUGUUUGGUGAUUUAUUUCUUAAUAAAGCAGGAGUCUUAAAACAUGGGAGUGGUUCCAUGAAAGGCAACAGCAUGCACUGGGCUCAGUGGCUCAGUGGCAAGACAGCAAGCAUCUGUAUUCGACUGCACCUGGAACGAAGGGGAUGAUGGGAAUAGAGCCCAGAGAGGGGCAGGGGCUGCACCAGGCAGAACUCAGAUGCCAGGCGACAGAGCGUGAAUUGUAUCCUGGAGGGAGA
This 1384-nucleotide long non-coding RNA is filed under the name Callithrix jacchus (white-tufted-ear marmoset). RNAcentral describes it as "lncRNA (ENSCJAG00000082976.1)". Lineage: Eukaryota; Metazoa; Chordata; Mammalia; Primates; Cebidae. The record is from RNAcentral.